GAGGGUGUAGCUCAGUUGGUUAGAGUGGCAGCCUGUCACGCUGCAGGCCGCGGGUUCAAUUCCCGUCACCCUCG
RNAcentral lists this transfer RNA (74 nucleotides) under Symbiochloris sp. SG-2018. RNAcentral's name for it is "tRNA-Asp". It matches the Rfam family "tRNA". Rfam says of the family: Transfer RNA (tRNA) molecules are approximately 80 nucleotides in length. Lineage: Eukaryota; Viridiplantae; Chlorophyta; Trebouxiophyceae; Trebouxiales; Trebouxiaceae. The record is from RNAcentral.